AAAAGGUUUGGUCACCUCUUGUUUUUUAGUUUUUCAUUUGUUGAAUUGUGUUUUGUUGGUAUAACAAAACAACUAUCAAACACCUUUGAUUAUAAAAAAAAAAUUUAAUGAGUGGGAAGUCGUGUAUUUAUGUUGACAGAUUUGAUGAUGCAAUAGCAGCGGCUCAAAGAGCAGCACGGCUGGACUCAAGCAACAAGGAAGUGAACAUGGUGGUUAGGAGGACACGGGCGGUGGCAAUGGCUCGAUCCAACGGUAACGAUUUGUUCAGGGGAUAAAGAUACUCAGAGGCUUGUGUUGCAUAUGGAGAGGGACUCGACCAUGACCCCUACAACUCGGUGGUGUUGUGCAACAGAGCUACUUGCAGGUCCAAACUUAGUCAAUUUGAGAAAGCAAUCAAGGACUGGAUUGCUGCCCUUAAUGUGCGCCCAUCUUACAAGAAAGCCAGAUUAAGAAGAGUCAAUUGCUAUGCCAAGGUUACGACAAGCAAGACAAAGAUCUACAUUGUGCUCGAGUAUGUUGGUGAGGGCGAGCUUUUUGACAAAAUAGCCAAACUAGGAAGACUUAAAGAGGAUGAAGCUAGGAGAUAUUUUCAGUAGCUCAUCAAUGCUGUAGACUACUGCCAUAGUAGAGGCAUGUACCAUAGAGACUUAAAGCCCGAGAAUCUACUUCUAGACUCAUUUGGUGUUCUCAAGGUUUCAGACUUUGGAUUGAGUGCAUUUUCCCAGCAAGCGCGGGUAAAUAUUAUGUGAGUUUGCAACAAUUUCCUCAUCUAAGAGCAGAUUUUUAGCAGGUGGGUGUUAAUAAAUUGAACGUUAAAUUUUUAAAAAUGGUUGCAGCACUGAGUCAAUUUUGCAGUCUGUUUGGUUUACUAAAAUCACCUAGUCCAGAAACUACCUUUCUGGCCAGGAGCAGUGCCUUGCUCUGAAAGGAAUUCAACAGGAAUAAUGUGGCCAUUAGUUUUUCUUUUGUCAUUCAGUGGCUUGUUCAUUUCUUGUUUCUAUUAAUUUGGAAAUGGACUUUUUUUUUAUGAUUUGUGUCUUUCCUUUCCCUCUUUUUAUAUUAGUUUCCCCAAAUCAAGGAGGCAAUUUAGUUUUAUUAGUUGACUUCUUCAUAAGAUUCUGUAUUAUGCAUCAUCUAGAUUUCGACACUUUGAAAACAUUCAGUGACCAUUUUUUAAGACUUGAUCUAAUCCACAUUGAGGUUAUAUGAUCUCAAUAUCAUUCAGACACAUAAGUUAUGGAUUGCCUUAAACCUAAUCCUCAUUCAUCAAU
Camellia sinensis is the source of this 1271-nucleotide non-coding RNA. Lineage: Eukaryota; Viridiplantae; Streptophyta; Magnoliopsida; Ericales; Theaceae. The record is from RefSeq and is a predicted model, not a curated record.